This 468-nucleotide ribosomal RNA is filed under the name uncultured bacterium. RNAcentral describes it as "partial 16S ribosomal RNA". It matches the Rfam family "Bacterial small subunit ribosomal RNA", at positions 28 to 507 of the family's 1533-position model. The record is from RNAcentral.
GACGAACGCUGGCGGCGUGCUUAACACAUGCAAGUCGAACGGAAAGGCCCUGCUUUUGUGGGGUGCUCGAGUGGCGAACGGGUGAGUAACACGUGAGUAACCUGCCCUUGACUUUGGUAUAACUUCAGGAAACUAGGGCUAAUACCGGAUAGGAGCUCCUGCUGCAUUGUGGGGGUUGGAAAGUUUCGGCGGUUGGGGAUGGACUCGCGGCUUAUCAGCUUGUUGGUGGGGUAGUGGCUUACCAAGGCUUUGACGGGUAGCCGGCCUGAGAGGGUGACCGGCCACAUUGGGACUGAGAUACGGCCCAGACUCCUACGGGAGGCAGCAGUGGGGAAUAUUGCACAAUGGGCGGAAGCCUGAUGCAGCAACGCCGCGUGCGGGAUGACGGCCUUCGGGUUGUAAACCGCUUUCGCCUGUGACGAAGCGUGAGUGACGGUAAUGGGUAAAGAAGCACCGGCUAACUACGUG